RNAcentral lists this ribosomal RNA (3082 nucleotides) under Durio zibethinus. RNAcentral's name for it is "eukaryotic LSU rRNA". It matches the Rfam family "Eukaryotic large subunit ribosomal RNA". The record is from RNAcentral. Lineage: Eukaryota; Viridiplantae; Streptophyta; Magnoliopsida; Malvales; Malvaceae.
GUGACCCUAGGCCUAGUCGAAUUACCUACUGAGUUUAAGCAUAUUAAUAAGCAUAAGAAAAGAAACUUACCAAGAUUCUCCUAGUAACAGCAACUUAAUCAGAAAGAGCCCAGCUUGAGAAUUCGACACCCUUGGCAUCUAAUUUGUAGUAUGGAAAAACAUCCUUAGCGAUGGACUAGGCCCAAGUCCCCUAGAAGAGGCGUUAAAAAAGGAGAGAGUCGUAUUGUGCCUGGACCCUGUUGCACCAAGGGAUGCUAUCUGUGAGUCGAGUUGUAUCAAAAUACAACCCUAAUAAGGUGGUAAAUUUCAUCCAAAGUUGAAUGUAGGUGAGAGACCAAUAGUGAACAAGUACUAUGAAGGAAAGAAGAAAAGGACUUUGAAAAGAGAGUCAAAAAUUGCUUGAAAUUCUUGGAAGAGAAAUGGAUGAGGGUUGGCGAUGUGCCCCAGUUGGAUGUGGAAUGAUAAGAGUCGAUUCGUCGAUCGGUUCAAGGUAUGGAUCGAUGUGGGUCACGCUGGUUGCUCAAGCUCAGGCUAUCAAUAUGCCAAUAGAGACAUCGACUAUGGGCUCCCCAUCCAACCCAUCUUGAAACAUAAACUAAAAAGUCUAACAUGUGUGUGAGUCAAUAGGUUAAAAAACCCGUUGGGCAUAAAGAAGCUAAUUUGUGGGAUCUUUCAUGGGUGUACCAUUAAUCAACCUUGAUUUUUUUAGAAGGGUUCAAGUGUGAGCAUGCCUAUCAAGGCUGAAAAGAUGGUGAACUAUGCUUGAGCGAGGUAAAGCCAGAAGAAACUCUGAUGGAGGCCCACACUGAUACUGACAUACAAAUCAUUCAUUUCACUAGGUAUAGGGGAAAAAAAUGAUCAAACUAUCUAGUAGCUGGUUCUCUUUGGAUAGUAGAGCCUUUAGCAUGUUUUAUUAGGUAAAGCCAAUGAUUAGAGGCAUCAUGGCGCAAUGCCCUUAACCUAUUCUCAAACUUUAAACAGGUAGGAUCGCAUGACUUCUUCAUUAAGCCACUCUAUGGAAUCAAGAGCUCUAAGUGGGCCAUUUUUGGUAAACAAAACUGGUGAUGCAGGAUGAAUUAGAAAUCAAGUUACAGUGUCCAACUAUGCGCUAACCUAGAACCCACAAAGGGUGUUGGUCAAUUAAGACAAUAGAACAGUGGCCAUGGAAGUUAAAAUUUGCUAAGAAGUGUGUAACAACUCACCUACCAAAUCAACUACUCUUGAGAAUGGAUGGCGCUUAAGUACACAACCUAUACCCAACCAUCAUGGCUAAGGCCAGGCCCUGAUGAGUAAGAGAAAGCCUAGAAUGGUCAUCAGUGCAGAUCUUGAUCAUAGUAACAGCUAUUCAAAUCUAAUCUUUGAAGCCCAAAGAAAGGAAAGGUUCCAUGUGAAUGGCACUUACACAUGGAUUAGUUAAUCUUAAAAGAUGGCAAAAACCCAUCUGACAGAGUGUCCAGUGCGAGCUUCGAAAGGGAAUUAGGUUAAAAUUCCUAAACUGAGAUAUGAUGGCUUAUGACAAUGUUAGGAAGUCUAAAGACAUUAGUAAGGGCCUUGUGAAGAGUUAUUUUUCUGUUUAAUGGCUUGUGCACCCUAGAAAUGGCUUAGCUAAAGGUAAGGUCCACCUGCUAGAAUAGUACUGCACAUUGAGUGUCAUCCGAUAUGCCCCCUAUAGCCCUUUAAAAUCUAGAAGACCAAGUGCCAUCCAUGCUCGAUCGCACUCAUAACCACAUUAAGUCUUCAAGGUGAAUAGCCUUUGGUCAAUGGAAUAAUGUAGGCAAGGGAAGUCAAAAAAUGGAUAAGUAACUUUGAGAAAAUGAUUGGCUCUAAAGGCUAGGCAUGAAGGUUUUAUCCUAAACCUAUCAACUAUCAAUGCACUACUCUACUCCCAUAACUAGAGUGGGUCACUGCUUGCUGGUCAAAGGAUAGAUUAGGACACCUCCCUAGGGGGCUUUCCUUGAAGCAACAAAUAGUUGGCUCAAAACUGGUAUAGACAAGGGGAAUUUGACUAUUUAGUUAAAAAAAAGCAUUAUGAUGGUCUCUACAAUGCCCACGAAAUGUGAUUUCUACCUAGUGCUUUGAAUGUCAAAGUGAAGAAAUUCAACCAAGCAUGGGAAAAUGGUGAGAAUAACUAUGACUCUAUUAAGGUAGACAAAUGCCUUGUCAUCUAAUUAGUGAAUACACAUGAAUGGAUCAACAAGAUUCCCACUAUCCCUAUCUACUAUCCAGUGAAACCAUGGCCAAAGGAACAGGCUUGGUAGAAUUAGCAGGGAAAGAAGACCUUAUUGAGCAUGACUUUAGUCUGACUUUGUCAAAUGACUUGAGAAGUGUGGCAUAAAAGGGAGCCUUCAAGUGAAAUUAAUAUACCACUACUUUUAACAUUAUUUUAAAGGCUAGCCUUAGUUGGUCAAUUCAGGUAGAAAACAUUGUCAGGUAGGGAGUUUGGCUAGGGUGGAACAUCUAUUAAAAGAUAGCGCAUGUGUCCUAAGAUGAGCUCAAUAAGAAUAGAAAUCUCACAUGGAACUAAAAGGUAAAAUCUUAUUUGAUUCAAAUCUCUAGUAUGAAUACAAACUAUGAAAGCAUGGCCUAUCAAUCUUUUAGACUUUCAAAAUUUAAAGCUAGAAGUGUUAAAAAAGUUACCAUAGGGAUAACUAGUUUGUGGUAGCCAAGCAUUCAUAACAACAUUGCUUUUUAAUCCUCUGAUGUCGGCUCUUCCUAUCAUUGUGAAGCAAAAUUCACCAAGUGUUGGAUUGUUCACCCACCAAUAGGGAACGUGAGCUCAAUUUAGACCAUUGUGAGAUAGGUUAGUUUUACCCUACUGAUGGUAGUGUCACAAUAGUAAUUCAACCUAGUAUAAGAGGGACUGUUGAUUCACAUAAUUGGUCAUCACGUUUGGUUGAAAAGCCAGUGGUGCAAAGGUACUGUGCACUGGAUUAUGAUUGAAUGCCUUUAAGUCAGAAUCUAGGCUAGAAGUAAUGCAAGUGCCCAUUACCUAAUUGUUGACCCAUAGUAAGGGCUCAUGGCCCUCAAGGGCAUGUAUCGUAGGUGUAACCCCUACGGUGGACAAUCCAUGUGAGCCUCUUUG